AUAUCAAUAAGCAGGUUCUGAAAGAAUUCAGCAAAAACAUUCCCAUAUAUGAUUAAAAAGGCUGGAGAAAAGCUGCUUAAAAGUAAGGUACCAUUCACUGCUGCUAUAGUAAUUUACUUCACAGAGGCGGAUUGAGGGGGGCCAGGGGCCCCCCCUUUUGGGAAAAAAAUUUGCGUUGCUUAUAUGAGGGAAUCACUGAAGCUUGAUUAGAGCGGGCCCCCACUUAUGAAAAUUUCUGAUCCGCCACUGCUUCACUUGUCAGGCAUUGAAGAAAAGG
RNAcentral lists this long non-coding RNA (277 nucleotides) under Mytilus galloprovincialis (Mediterranean mussel). Lineage: Eukaryota; Metazoa; Mollusca; Bivalvia; Mytilida; Mytilidae. The record is from RNAcentral.